CAGUAGCCGCGGUAAUACGAAGGGUGCAAGCGUUACUCGGAAUUACUGGGCGUAAAGCGUGCGUAGGUGGUGGUUUAAGUCCGUUGUGAAAGCCCUGGGCUCAACCUGGGAAUUGCAGUGGAUACUGGAUCACUAGAGUGUGGUAGAGGAUAGUGGAAUUUCCGGUGUAGCAGUGAAAUGCGUAGAGAUCGGAAGGAACAUCUGUGGCGAAGGCGACUAUCUGGGCCAACACUGACACUGAGGCACGAAAGCGUGGGGAGCAAACAGGAUUAGAUACCCGCGUAGUCCCUGUCUCUUAUAC
This 301-nucleotide ribosomal RNA is filed under the name uncultured bacterium. RNAcentral describes it as "partial 16S ribosomal RNA". It matches the Rfam family "Bacterial small subunit ribosomal RNA", at positions 509 to 807 of the family's 1533-position model. The record is from RNAcentral.